GCCGCCAUAGUGUAAUGGAUAUCACGCAAGAUUCCGGUUCUUGUAAUGAGGGUUCGACUCCCCCUGGCGGUA
This 72-nucleotide transfer RNA is filed under the name Eremococcus coleocola ACS-139-V-Col8. It matches the Rfam family "tRNA". Rfam says of the family: Transfer RNA (tRNA) molecules are approximately 80 nucleotides in length. Their secondary structure includes four short double-helical elements and three loops (D, anti-codon, and T loops). Further hydrogen bonds mediate the characteristic L-shaped molecular structure. tRNAs have two regions of fundamental functional importance: the anti-codon, which is responsible for specific mRNA codon recognition, and the 3' end, to which the tRNAs corresponding amino acid is attached (by aminoacyl-tRNA synthetases). tRNAs cope with the degeneracy of the genetic code in two manners: having more than one tRNA (with a specific anti-codon) for a particular amino acid; and 'wobble' base-pairing, i.e. permitting non-standard base-pairing at the 3rd anti-codon position. The record is from Rfam by way of RNAcentral. Lineage: Bacteria; Bacillati; Bacillota; Bacilli; Lactobacillales; Aerococcaceae. RNAcentral also lists the same sequence under 1 other name.